This is a non-coding RNA of Paramuricea clavata, 1526 nucleotides long. NCBI's taxonomy places the organism in Eukaryota, Metazoa, Cnidaria, Anthozoa, Malacalcyonacea, Plexauridae. The record is from the annotation of a GenBank genome assembly.
AAAACUGUCAUGGUGGAUUUGUGCCAAUUUUGAAAAAAAAACGAAAAGGACUUGCAAAAUUUUGUCAAGAAUCUCACUUGUUAUCAUUUACCUGAAAGUUUUUGAAGAAAGGGAAAGUACUAAAUCUGUCGAAAAUGCCUAAAAAUAUUCAAUACAAUGUUGGCGAUUUAAUUUGGGCGAAAAUGAAAGGCUACCCGCAUUGGCCUGCUAGAGUAAGCGAAUAAUUUAUAUGUUGACAUGGAUUUGUAGUAUUUAUAAAUAUUGGUUGAAGAAUAUAUUUAAAAUGAAUUAAGAGUUAUCUGGGGAGGAGAAUGUUCAAUAGUGGUUUAGGAUUUUAGGUCAUUUAAGCAGUGAAAAUUGUAUACUAAAAUUUUCUACUAUCAACAAAAGUUGCUAAAUUCCACGUAUAUUUACAAUUUAUCGUACUAGGGGAGUUACUAUAAAGUACAUAUACAAUAAAUCCCCUAUCAAAUAGCAAAUACACAGCAUCAAAAUCACACUAUUCAAUACUGGGUUAUUCCACAAAACAUCUACAUUUGCCCAACAGAGGAAAUUGCAAGUUUACCCCCCACAGCACCACAUGGUGCAUUUUGUGUACAACCGUUUGAGGGUUACAUUACAGUUUACUGUACCUGAGUGAUAGAAGUAUUCAAUGACAUAUAUCUGAUGAAGUUACAUUUUUUAAGCCCUGGGCAAACUAAGAAACAUUGUUGCCGAAACAUUGUUUCAGGCUACCAAUGUUUCGCCAUGUUUCCAAGAGUGGGCAAACACUAGGAAACAUUAGUGAGAAACAUAGGGAAACAUCAAAUGUUUCUGAAUUCGCUAGGAAAAUUUUUGCUUCUCAGGAAGCAAAUUUUGUUUCCGCAACAAUGUUUCCAUGAGUGGGCAAACAGGGAAACAUUUGCGGAAACAUUGUGAAUCACAAAUGUUUCCACAACAAUGUUUCCUAGUUUGCCCAGGGCUUUAGUGAUUACUAGGGUAUGGUCAACAGAAAUGGAUUGCUGUACAAUAUUCUGUGUUUUGCAGAAACAAUAUGGCCAUACAUAACAACAUAACAAAACUGUUUGGUUUUAGAUUGAUAUGGUUGAACCAGGAACAAAGAUUCCAAACAAUAAAUUACCAAUAUUCUUCUAUGGUACACAUGAAACGUAUGUACAACUCUAAUGCAAUCUGUAGCUAUUUGGAUAAGGGGUAGACCAUUAGAAAAAUUCUGUCCUGGUAAUAAAUUCACAGGGAAAAAAUUGAAUUUCCAUUCAUGGAAUUUGAUAAAAAUUGAAUUUCCAUUAUUUAAAGCAUGCAUAGGAGUGUUUUAUCACAUAUAAAACACGGCGCAUAGCAGAGUGUUUUAUAUGUGAUUAAACAUGACUACAAGUGCUUUAAAUGUCUUAAAAAAUUACUCAUCUUAUACGAGUUCAUUGGCGAAGUAAUUUUUAAAAUAAACUUUGUCUAAACUGAGAAAAUCAAAGCUAAAGACCUAAAGUUUAUGUAAAUUAAUUAACAUGAUUUUUUAUCACAUAUAAAACCAC